Molecule: non-coding RNA, 306 nt
Organism: Cinara cedri
Lineage: Eukaryota; Metazoa; Arthropoda; Insecta; Hemiptera; Aphididae
Source: the annotation of a GenBank genome assembly
AGGAUGAACGGAAGGUUUUUAUAGAUGAGAAGUUGGGAAGGUAGGAUAUUGAAGGAAAUUUAAUGUAUAUCUGUACCUAAGUAAAUUUAAGCAUUGUCAACAAAAACGAUUCUGAGUGGAGCUCGGUUGAGAAUAUUAAUCAGGGGCGUCUUUGGGUUAAUUCCGUGGAGAGGACGGUUAACAGUUUUUGCUCUUGAAUACCACUGCUUUGAUCAACAAAAACUCAAAACUUUAAUGUCUGAUAUCAUUUCAACUUAUAUCAGCUUAGAAGACAGGUAAACUGUACAAAUGCAGUAAAACAGUACA